Molecule: long non-coding RNA, 470 nt
Filed under: Mytilus galloprovincialis (Mediterranean mussel)
Lineage: Eukaryota; Metazoa; Mollusca; Bivalvia; Mytilida; Mytilidae
Source: RNAcentral
GCUGAUCUUUUUUGCUGUUUACAGUUUAUCUUUAUCUAUAAUAAUAUUCAAGAUAAUGACCAAAAACUGCAAAAUUUCCUUAAAAUUACCAAUUAAGUGGCAGCAACCCAACAAUUGGAUGUUUGAUUCAUCUGAAAAUUUCAGGGCUGAUAGAUAUUGACCUAAUGAACAUUUUUACUCCUGUCAGAUUUGCUCUUAAUGCUUUCGUUUUUGAGAUAUAAGCCAAAAACUGCAUUUGACCCCUAUGUUCUAUUUUUAAGUAACGGCGGCCAUGUUUUUUGACGGAUCAAAAAUCAAAGCACACACUUUGUGCAGGAUAAUCUAAGGAACAACCAUGCUAAGUUUUAACCAAAUCCAUUCAGUAGUUUCAGAGGAGAAGAUUUUUUAAAGUUAGCAAAUAUGAUGAACAAAUUGUGAAAAAUUGUCAUUAAAGGACAAUAACCCCUUAAGGGGUCAAUUGACAAUUUUGG